UUUUUUUCAGGUGGGUAGUAGACACUCCUAAUUCUACUGUCGGACACUUGUCCAUUUUUUCCGCUCAAGUGGGCAUCUUUGUACCUAAUUCUAAUCCGGACACUUGUCCAUUUUACCUCUCGUCUCACUCUUUUUCUUUCUUUGUUGAGGUUCUGGGCACUUGCCCCUUUUUUAUUUCCUCGCAUAUUUUUGCAUAACCCAUGCCUCUUCUGCAUUGAACCUUUUUAGAGAGAGAGAAUAACAACACUUGAGAUAGUGAGUGAUAAUAUUAUUUUUAGCAAUUUUAAUGCGCGGUGGUGAAUGGUGU
This 307-nucleotide long non-coding RNA is filed under the name Sorghum bicolor (sorghum). RNAcentral's name for it is "long non-coding RNA (SBIC_LNC001155)". The record is from RNAcentral. Lineage: Eukaryota; Viridiplantae; Streptophyta; Magnoliopsida; Poales; Poaceae.